AGAACCAAAGAGAUGAGCAGCUGUUUGACAGCUAUGCACCAUAUAGUUUUCAAAGUGAGAGAAGAGAACCUGAAUGUUUGGCCAACUCAGAACACGAUCAGCAGUGGGGAUUAGAGAUCUUGGAAAACUGCCAGGAGAAGAAAUUCCAAGAAGCAAUGGAUCCCAGCCUGGAAGUCAACUGCUUGGAGUCCAAUCUGGCAUUGACUAAGUUUCUUGCUUCUCUACAAAACUUUCCGUCUUUUCCACUUUCAAGUCAGGCUGAGGAAACAGGCAGCAACACGGGACUCAUGCCCAUGUCCUCCUCUCUCCUCUUCUGACUUGAUUCAGGACACAUGCAGGCAGGCUGAGCUGCAGCUCUUCUGGCUCAAGUGACAGGUCUCUGUGUAACACGCUUUCUGAAUCACUUGUCUAUGUAAUAAAUAAUGUCUUUCCGUUUCUGAUGUCUUGAAG
Molecule: long non-coding RNA, 450 nt
Filed under: Apteryx rowi (Okarito brown kiwi)
Lineage: Eukaryota; Metazoa; Chordata; Aves; Apterygiformes; Apterygidae
Description: lncRNA (ENSARWG00000005757.1)
Source: RNAcentral